RNAcentral lists this ribosomal RNA (631 nucleotides) under Leptographium olivaceapini. RNAcentral describes it as "eukaryotic LSU rRNA". It matches the Rfam family "Eukaryotic large subunit ribosomal RNA", at positions 1 to 649 of the family's 3401-position model. The record is from RNAcentral. Lineage: Eukaryota; Fungi; Ascomycota; Sordariomycetes; Ophiostomatales; Ophiostomataceae.
UUGACCUCGGAUCAGGUAGGAUUACCCGCUGAACUUAAGCAUAUCAAUAAGCGGAGGAAAAGAAACCAACAGGGAUUGCCUCAGUAACGGCGAGUGAAGCGGCAACAGCUCAGAUUUGGAAUCUGGUCCUUUGGGGCCCGAGUUGUAAUCUGGAGAGGAUGCUUCUGGCGCGGCGCCGUCCGAGUUCCCUGGAACGGGACGCCGGAGAGGGUGAGAGCCCCGUACGGUCGGACGCCUAGCCUGUGUGAAGCUCCUUCGACGAGUCGAGUAGUUUGGGAAUGCUGCUCAAAAUGGGAGGUAAAUUUCUUCUAAAGCUAAAUACCGGCCAGAGACCGAUAGCGCACAAGUAGAGUGAUCGAAAGAUGAAAAGCACUUUGAAAAGAGGGUCAAACAGUACGUGAAAUUGUUGAAAGGGAAGCGCCCGUGGCCAGACUUGUGCCCGGCAGACCAUCCGGCGCCCCCGCGCCGGUGCACUCUGCCGGGCGCAGGCCAGCAUCGGUUUUCCUAGGGGGAUAAAGGCGGCGGGAACGUGGCUCCCUCGGGAGCGUUAUAGCCCGCCGUGUCAUGCCUCUGGGGGGACCGAGGACCGCGCAUUUAUGCAAGGAUGCUGGCGUAAUGGCCACCGGCGACC